Non-coding RNA from Pelobates cultripes (western spadefoot toad), 220 nucleotides. Lineage: Eukaryota; Metazoa; Chordata; Amphibia; Anura; Pelobatidae. The record is from the annotation of a GenBank genome assembly.
GGAUUUGGCAAUUAACUCCGAAUGCAAAUUUGUUGUAACAACUGUGUCUUCCACAAUAGUUAACACGUCUUGGAGAAGUGUUCUUUGCUGUUGUAUCACCUGAUGAAUAUCGUUAAUGUGUUGCUUUAGCGCAUAGAUUUCCAUAUCCAGCUUUUGGACAGUAAUAGAGUUGGCUGCAGACAUUCCAGUUGCGACAACUGCACCGACAGUGGCACAAAGU